This 252-nucleotide ribosomal RNA is filed under the name uncultured bacterium. RNAcentral's name for it is "partial 16S ribosomal RNA". It matches the Rfam family "Bacterial small subunit ribosomal RNA", at positions 524 to 776 of the family's 1533-position model. The record is from RNAcentral.
UACGUAGGGUGCGAGCGUUAAUCGGAAUUACUGGGCGUAAAGCGUGCGUAGGCGGUUCGUUAAGUCAGUUGUGAAAGCCCCGGGCUCAACCUGGGAAUUGCGGUUGAAACUGGCGAACUAGAAUCUGGCAGAGGGGGGUGGAAUUCCACGUGUAGCAGUGAAAUGCGUAGAGAUGUGGAGGAACACCGAUGGCGAAGGCAGCCCCCUGGGCUGAGAUUGACGCUCAGGCACGAAAGCGUGGGAGCAAACAGG